CCUACGGGAGGCAGCAGUGAGGAAUAUUGGUCAAUGGACGAGAGUCUGAACCAGCCAAGUAGCGUGAAGGAUGACUGCCCUUUGGGUUGUAAACUUCUUUUAUAUGGGACUAAAAUGUUCCACGUGUGGGAUUUUAUAUUUACCAUAUGAAUAAGGAUCGGCUAACUCCGUGCCAGCAGCCGCGGUAAUACGGAGGAGCCGACCGUUAUCCGGAUUUUUUGGGUUUAAAGGGAGCGUAGGUGGAUGGUUAAGUCAGUUGUGAAAGUUUGCGGCUCAACCGUUAAAUUGCAGUUGAAACUGGCAGUCUUGAGUACAGUAGAGGUGGGCGGAAUGUGUGGUGUAGCGGUGAAAUGCUUAGAUAUCACGAAGAACUCCGAUUGCGAAGGCAGCUCACUGGACUGCAACUGACACUGAGGCUCGAAAGUGUGGGUAUCAAACAGGAUUAGAUACCCGAGUAGUC
Molecule: ribosomal RNA, 460 nt
Filed under: uncultured bacterium
Lineage: Bacteria
Description: partial 16S ribosomal RNA
Rfam family: Bacterial small subunit ribosomal RNA
Source: RNAcentral